This is an RNA transcript of Cryptotermes secundus, 5701 nucleotides long. It is a transcript of the gene named putative tyramine receptor 2, with no coding region annotated. NCBI's taxonomy places the organism in Eukaryota, Metazoa, Arthropoda, Insecta, Blattodea, Kalotermitidae. The record is from RefSeq and is a predicted model, not a curated record. The transcript has 5 exons.
AUCUAUACCCCUUCCUACUGCCUACAAGACCGAUGGAUUGUAACAGAACAACCACGCCUCCUUUUCUUUAUGCGGCGGAAAAUACCUCUGCACUCUCGACUUCCCUGUUUCAACGGAAAAACAAAUUAUCACAUUCCUCGUGUUGUAGUAAUCAUAUGAAACUUCUUGGGUAUAACACUCAGAUAUGAAAAUGGAAAGAAAGAAUUUUAAACAUCCGUGAUCUCUACUUCAUUACGUACCUUAGUCACUUUCUGGAAUAGACGAAGAAUGUAAAUUAAUUUUCGUAUGAAAUAACAUAACUUUAUUAUAUAAAUUUUUAUGAUAUACUACAAAACACAACAACCGCUCACAUAGCCCUCUUGAGUAACAAGAUAUUGCAUAUAGAGUUAUAUCUAACCGUUUUUAUGAAACGUGUGGUAGCUCAAGAAUUUCAUGUCUAAAUACAGAAGGAUUCAUCACGCAGAUUCAUCAGCCCCGUAUAAAUUAAAACAUGUGAAACGAAAAUUUUAUAAUAAUUACGUGUACUCAACAGACCUUCGUAACAUUAGUCACUACACCGUUCUCUUCUAAUUGUAUUCAGAAUAAAACGUGUAAAUAGCGUUCAAAAUGGAAUCGGACUGGAAUAACGACACCACAUACGGAACUGAGGAAAAGAACUGUAGCCAGGCGAAAGUGCAGUACGGGAGUAGUUUGGGUGUGGCCCUAGCAGUUCCUGAGUGGGAGGCUGCAGUAACAGCCCUCACGCUCACCUCCAUCAUCCUUCUCACCGUGGUUGGCAACAUUCUAGUUAUUCUAAGUGUCUUCACGCACAAACCGCUGAGAAUAGUUCAGAACUUCUUCAUAGUAUCACUGGCAGUUGCUGAUCUAACUGUAGCGUUAUUGGUAUUACCAUUUAGUGUUGCUGUUCAAAUUCUAGGACGCUGGGAAUUCGGUAUACACGUGUGUAAAUUGUGGUUAACUUGUGACGUACUUUGUUGUACUGCUUCUAUAUUAAAUUUGUGUGCCAUAGCUUUGGACAGAUACUGGGCAAUAACUGAUCCGAUUAACUACGCACAGAAACGAACUCUAAAACGUGUUCUUUUCAUGAUAGGAGUUGUAUGGGUACUCUCUGGAGUUAUCAGUUCUCCACCGCUCAUUGGUUGGAAUGACUGGCCAGAAGUAUUCCAUAAUGAUACCCCGUGCCAACUCACGUCCCAACAAGGAUACGUUGUUUAUUCCUCUCUUGGUUCCUUUUUUAUUCCACUGUUUAUCAUGACUGUUGUUUAUGUAGAGAUCUUCAUAGCAACAAAGAGGAGAUUAAGAGAGAGAGCUCUCGCGUCCAAACUAAAUGUUGUCAAAAUCAGCGAGGCACAAAACAUGUCCGGAAAGGUCGUGCACAAUGAUCAAGAUUCCGUAAGCAGCGAGACGAACCACAACGAACAUCCACAUCUCUGUGAUGGGAACACCAAGACAAAGGAAAAGAAAAAGAAAUCUAAGAAGAAGAGGAAGAAGAAUAUCGGUGAUGGUUCCUUGAAAGACAGAUUCCUUCAGAAGCCGAUCAUAGUAGCCGAAGAUUCCGUUACGGACAAUAUGGGAGAUCCUCCAUCGGGGUCACAGUGUGUUGACAGCUCAAAUCAUUGCGGUGAGGAGAAUCAGACGCCACCUACAAACACAACGACGACAGAAUCGCCCAAAUCAAGAAAUGAAUGUCAGAGAGGGAAUGCACCCCCUUCUGCAAUUUCAGCAUCAGUCCCCGUCCCGCCUUCUGGUGCCAAGAGGCAACUUCCAAUUUACCAGUUCAUAGAGGAGAAACAGAGGAUUUCGCUGUCGAAAGAACGGCGCGCCGCAAGAACACUGGGGAUUAUCAUGGUUCGAGAACCCAUCAUACUUGACGAGUGGUUUGAAGUGUUUCCAGGACAGACGAAACAGCUGUGCAGUUAGCAGGGGCAGUUGGCCUAUCUGUGACACAUUUCACGCAAACAUCCAUGUUGUUGAGCUGUCACUGCUCCCAGUCAGGCUAAGACUAUGAUAAAGCAGAAAUUCAGAGACUUCAGCUUAUGUAGUGUAAAUUGGGAUGUACUGAAGACAUCAUUUUCUGUGAGCUCUCAUUAAUGUCAGUACCACUACUUGCGAUGGAAAACUGCUAAUGAGCUCUGAAUUCUUCUGGUCAGAGUAGUUCUAGGAUGGAAACAUGAUUUCACAGAUGUCACUUCAGAUAGUAUACAAUGUGGUAAGUUGAACAAGUCCCUUUUAAGUUAGGAUUAAUGUUGGUAUGACCUCUUAUUCUUCAGGCAAGAACAUUGUUGAUGAGCAAACAUUGCAACAAAUCUGGUUAAAACCCUAUGGGAAACAUGAUUUCAGAGAUACCACAUCAGGUACUGUACAUUUGUGUCAACUGAAGGAAUCCAUCUUUAUGAGCUGUCAUUAAUGAUGAUAACAUGCCUUAUUUUACAGGAAACAACUAUGUUGAGUCUUAAUUGCUGCUUUUCAGGUUAAUGCAAUGAUGGAAACAUAAGUCACAGAUUUCACAUCACAUACUGUACAGUGUGGUGAUCUGAAUAAGUCAGCUUUAUGAAUUGUCAUUAAUGUUCUUAUCACUCAUUAUUUGCAGGUGACAAUGGUGUUUAUGAGACUUAAUGGGUAGCACUCAGUUUAAUAGUAGUUUGGAAACCUGAAAUCACAGUUUUAAUAUCAGGAAGGGUACAGCGAGGUCAGAUAAGGCAACCUUCCUUAUGAGCUGUCAUAAAGCUGAUACAACUUAUUUUACAGGGAACAACUGUGUUAAUGAGUCUUCAUUGCUGUCACACAGGAUAAAAUAUAUAUGAAGAAAAGCAUUCCAAAAUUUUUGAUUCUGGUAGUGUACAGUGUGGUCAGUUGAAAAAAUCACUAAGCUUUCAGGAAUAUAGGUACAACUUAUUUGCAUGAAAAGAUUAGUUCAUAACUGAAUUGCAGGUAGUCAGUAUAUUCCUAUGUUGAAACCAAGAAAUUAGAGAUUUCAUAUCAGGGAGUGUACAGUGGUCAAUUACAUAUGUCCUUUAUAAGGCGUUAUUAAUGUUGGCAUGAUCUUUUUCUUUAGAGGCAACACCAGUGUUGAUGAACCUACAAUUCUCCCACUCAGGGUAUUACAAUCCUCAAAAAAUAAAUCCAGUGAUUUCAUGUCAGGUAAUGUACAAUGUUGUAUGUAGAACAAGACAGUGUGAGCUGACAUUAUGAUUGGUGGGACCUCUCUUUCUUACAGGUAGCAUCAGUGUUGAUGACCCUUAAUUCAGGUUAACACAGUGGUGGAAGCAUGAUAUCAGAGAUUUGCAUCAGGUAAUGCACAAUGUUGUAUGUAGAACAAGCAAUUGUAAGCUGUCAUUAUGAUUGAUUUGACCUUUUAUUGUUACAGGGAACAUCAGUGUUGAUGAGACUUCAUUUCUCCCACUCGGGUUAACACAUUGUUGGUAGCAUGAAUUCAGAGAUAUCACAUCAGGGAACAUCAGUGUUGAUGAGACUUCAUUUUUCCCAGACAGGUCAACACAUUGUUGGAAGUAUAAAUUUGGAGAUUUCGAAUCAGGCAACAUGAGCAAGGCAGAUUGUCCAGUGGCCCAUGUGAAGAAAGGUUAAAUGGGAGCAUCAGUUCAGUGACAUGAAGGAAAGAGGACAGUGGCCAGUGUGAUGUGUAAAGGGGAGAAACUGUGGAAGGAGGCGAUGGCUUUGUGCAAGUCUUGCAGCAGAAAGCAAUUCAUGCAUGCAGACAAAUGCUCAGAAUUGUACCACACCUGUGGAGAUGACCAUGUUCCUCCAAAAGCUAAGUAUCUACCUACAUGAGUAGACAGUGUCACAACCCAGAAGACUUCAUUGUGAGCUUGCAAAUUGUCUGGGAAGAGGUAUGAGAGUUUGUGUUACUAGUGACACACAAAGUGAUAAAAUGAAUCUGUGUUCUUAGUGUAGAAUUGUGAAUCUAACAUAUGGUGAAGGAUUCACCCCUAAAGUGUGUGGCCCCUAAUGACUUUGCAUCACAUGAUCACACAGUGGCGCUAGCAAAUGCAACAGCUGCAAGUUAAAGUUCAGGCUGUUCAUCAUCCAUUAUUUGUGGUUUAUAAUUUUGGUCAGUAUUAUUCAUGUCUUUUCUACGGUGUUGUACGAAACAUAUUUUGCUGAGAGAUGAACGAUCUUAAUGGGAUGGUAAUGUUUUGCCAUGUGCAUUCACAAUUCUAAUGUAUGUGUCAGUAUUCUGGUCCACAGUGAAGGUAAAAUUGGUGACCUUUAUUGAACUGUUACUUUGUGUGUUCACAGGACUGGUGUGUGUCAUUUCUUUGGGUCUGGAAGGAACAUCAAGAUGCUGAUGGGUUAUCGGGUGAUAAAUUUAUAGCAGCGUAUUCAUUGAAACAUUUAAAAAUGUCAGGGUUUCAAACCCAGAUCCUGACCUACAUGAGUAACUGUGCAAAUGAGUAUUAUGCUGUGUGGAGAUUGAUAAUAACUUAAAUAUAACAGUGAAACUGUAUAAUAUUAACAUAUAUUAGCUUUUACCAAGUAAUUUUACUGUUUGUUGUAGACUGUGGCGAGAUGGUGGUGCAGCAGUGUCUUGUUUGAAAAUGAGCUGUCUCUUCACAUCCAUGAGGGGCUGAAGUGAUGGGUGGUCUUCCAUGUUCAUUGGACAUAUGCACAGCAAGAUCUUGCAGAGUUAAUAGAAACUUAAGGCGGAACAUGACUGUUUUCAGCAGGAUUAUAAAGAGAUGAUCCAAGACCUGAGAGGGAACAGUGUGCACGGAACUGAAAUACAGUGAAACCCUCAUCAGUGCUCUUUGAUGCGAGAUUAACCUCAGGUAAUUUUCGGUUUUGGUGAUGUGUCAGUAACCUCAUUGUCAAAUUACAUGCAUGCAAGAAUCCACUUCUUGGCAAAGAGACCUUAAAUAGGGGAUUCACUGUAUGCAGACCUGCAUCUGUAUGCCAUUGUAACAAUCACCAAUCACAGAAACAUGCUUCCCUGUUGACAGUCAUAUGUCACGGGAAGCCUGGAUGAGGAUUUCCGCACUGGAAGAAGUGCAGCAGUUGAGUAAGAGGUUCAUCUGUCAGCGCUACAGAUGGUGGGAUGGGUAAACUACUGCAUCGUUCUCCGCCACAAGAUACCAGUCUUGCAACUAGCCUUAGAAAUGUAUGUCUGAUAAAUAUAGAUCAAUAUCUCUUCAGGUAUCAUUAUUAUGAUGCUUGAAGUGUCAGUUGGUGUAAAUGAAUGACCUGUGUUUGAAUUAUAUGUAAGAAAUUUAGAUUUAUUUUAUCCAAAAGAAAAAUGGGUACUGGAGGGGGGGGUAUUCAUUUAGAUGGCAAAGGAAGAAAAUGAUUUCAGCCUAGUACAGUAUGUCAAUAUUCAUGGUAGAAGUAUAUGCCAUUAACCAUGUGUGGACCAAGUUUUUGAACAGUUUGAGGCAAAAUACAAAUUAUAACAGAAUGUAGUCUAACUUAAUGUAACCUGCCCUAAUCUAACAUAAUCAAAGCUAACAAAACUAACCUGAGCUAACAUGUCGAGGAAAGUACAUAUACGUCCGUAGAACAGAAAGUGGGUAUACUUACUGCCAUGAGCUUUAUGAAUUAUUUAGCCUAUUGGUUUGUAUGAGGUUCACUCUGCACUAUACCUCACCAUGCACAUUAGCACGCUGUAGGGUAGUGAUUAAGGCAUUAUGCUACAAGUCAGAAGGUCAUGGGUUCAAAUACCGAUGAGGUCACUGGAUUUUUUUCAGUU